GUACACGCCAAUUCCAUUUCGCCGGACUGAAAGAGCCAUCAAUCACUAUGAUCUCUUUCUUAGAAAAGAAAUUGCGUAAAUUCUGCCUUUUUUGAUCCCAUGCUUUCCGUUGGUCAACAACCAACUAAAUCUAUACUUCUUCACUACUCGUACAGGGAAGGUGGAAGAAAUUCAGUCUCUUUUUUUUAGGGGGAGCAGAGCAGUCAAAGAAUGAACCAAACCAAAUGAUUGUUCUAGAAUGGCUAUUCCUCACAAUUGCACCCUGUGAUGCAGCGGAACCAUGGCAAUUAGGAUCUCAAGACGCAGCAACACCUAUAAUGCAAGGAAUAACAAACUUACAUCGCGAUGUCUUUUUCUUCGUUAUUCUGAUUUUUGUUUUCGUAUCAUGGAUCUUGGGUCGCGCUUUAUGGCAUUUCUACUAUAAAAAAAAACCAAUCCCGCAAAGUAUUGUUCAUGGAACUACUAUCGAGAUUCUUCAGACCAUAUUUCCUAGUAUCAUCCCUAUGUUCAUUGCUAUACCAUCAUUUUCUCUGUUAUACUCAAUGGACGAGGUAGUAGUAGAUCCAGCCAUUACUAUAAAAGCUAUUGGAAAUCAAUGGUAUCGGAGUGCGCCUCUUCACGAGGGUGAUUAAAGUGCAACGAAAUGCCUUAAAGUUGAAUAGGGUUCGCGAAGCAUCUAGCUUACCGGUAAUCUCCCAUUCCCGCUGUCGAGAGACUUUAAUAACUAUAGCAUGCCAGAAACGGGGAGUUGAGGUGGUUAGACCUAUACCCCGAAAUGCUCCCACCAUAGGAGCCUAUGGUUCCAUUCUUAUUGGUGCUGGAGGUACACAUCCCUCUUCUCGGUGUGGAACGAUAUACGAGAAAUAGAUGCUCAUCCUGCAAUGUCCGAUAACGGCGCUGAAGUAGUGAAUCUAUCGGCACCAUAGCAGUGGUAUACAACUUUGGACCUAACGGUCGGCCUAGUAACCUUUCAGAAUGGGGGAUCCCCGUUGGCAACAACCACGGUAGUAGUUGCGGAACUACUGGGCCGGGAGAGGAGCGGAAAGCCACUUGACUGUAAGGAGAGGACAACAUCUUAUUCCUGCUUCUCUUUCUUCGCUUCGGGGACAGAGGUCCUACGGUAGGUAACAGCAGGUACAAGCAAGUUGAUCGAAGGGGACCAGCGCUUCUACUCCUCCACCGAGGAGCCGUUCCUGCGAGAAGCAAGGGAUGUCGUGAACGGUGAGAGGUCACAGAGAAUUGACCUAUUCAUAGAGUGAUCCUAUGAUCGAUAAAGGAUAUAGACUAUCUCAUUCUUUAUUCUAUUCUAUUUCUGGAAAAAAAAAAGGGUGACUCAACUUCUUAGCUAGAGUUGGUGGUGGGACCUGUUGGCAUAAUGCACGCUGGAACGUGGGAAUUCGAGGUCUCAUGAACUACUACUGAAAACGAACCUUGUUUUUGUUUUGUUUGUGGACAAACAAUAUCUGGUCAGGCCUAUGGCUGGAUCCUUUUAGAUCUACGGGCCGGCCGGCCCCGGCCGUUUACAUGAGCAUAGGGAAUCUAUACUCGAGCGUUCCACUGGGCCCCUGACAGGAUAGGUGAGGAAUCACCCUAGAUCUUCUUUUUUUGGGCUACAAAUUCACCGAGCCGACUAGCAUCCCUUUCCACUGUGUAUUUUUUGAACAAAGAAGACGACUAUAGGAUCAAAUUCACUCUUCAAGAAAUUGCUCGUCCCAUACCUUCUGCUUGUCUCAUAUGUGUGGAACCUGGUCUUUUUCGGUUCCAGCCUCUCCCUCGAAUACAUAGGGUAGGUAGGGCUGGGUGAGAAAUGGUUCCCUCUUGCCAAUAAACUUUCCCUGACCUUCGAUUAACCUUACUCAUAAAUGGUGUUACGGUCGGGAGAACUACCUAACUAAAGAAAAAUAGUGUUCUUUCUAAGAGUAGGUGUGGAGAGCUUUUUGCGGGGAAACCUGCAAGUACAGUUUGGCGGGGAGGCGGGCGUCGACCCCUACCUUAUGAGUAUUCGGACUAUAACAGUUCCGAUGAACAGUCACUCACUUUUAACAGUUAUACGAUUCCAGAAGAUGAUCUAGAAUUGGGUCAAUCACGUUUAUUAGAAGUCGACAAUAGAGCGGUUCUACCAGCAAAGAGCCAUAUACGUUUUAUUGUAACAUCUGCUGAUGUACCUCAUAGUUGGGCUGUACCUUCCUUAGGUGUCAAAUGUGAUGCUGUACCGGGUCGUUUAAAUCAGACCUCUAUUUCGGUACAACGAGAAGGAGUUUACUAUUGGAUUUGAACCAAUAACUCUCGUCGUAUGAAAGCGAUACCCUAACCGCUGAGUCAAGUAGGUCAAGCUGAGUCAAGUCACCCUAUAAGAGAAAGUCGUGCAACCAAAGUAGCCCUUACUAUACAAGGGGGCGGAGCGCUAAGAAAGAGAAAGCGUUAUCACUAUACGAAAUGAAGUAGCGGCUAGCACGCUAAGCUAAGAUCAACCAAUGUUCGAACGCGGACCCUUUCUUUCUCGGUCGUCUGUCUUAAUAAGCGCAUUCCAAUUCAUGCAGUCCUUCUCUGCUGCAUUGGUCUUUUUACUCCCCACUCUCCACCAUAAAAAAAUCUUUCCACUAUAUCUCCGGAGUAGUCAAAGGAAGUAUGGCGGGUCCGAGUAGGAAUAACCGACCCUGUAGCGCUAGCGCUUCGCGUUCUUUCUAUUCCAUCCCAUUCCGGGAUAGGCGGCUAAUACUAAAAUAAUAAGUGAAGUAGUCGUCGUCUGACCAAUCGGCUCGGACACCAGACCGCCCGUGCCCGCCUAUUUUGUCUCGCCAUAAAUGGAAUGGCUCUCUUAGUUACGCUGCGCCCCGACCCGAGUCCCCACAUCCGCUUUUCUCUGCCCGCAACCCAAUAAGUUGGCAAAGUCAACACAAGAUUAGGGUCAUCCCCUUCAUUCUAUGUUGACCCCGGCCCGGGCUGGCUUCUUGGUAAGCCCGUUCCCACCGCGCUCACGGCCCGGCUGGUCUUCCAGCGUUAGUGGGAAUUCUUCCGUUCCCUGGUCAAAGACUUGGUUGGAUGCGGGAUCUACUCCACGAGGAGCGGUACGGACGUAGAUGAUAUCAUCACGACCCCUCUUUUCGUACCGCUAGGGAUGCUUAAUGCCACUUCGCCAACUGGCAUUACCUACGCUUUCGUGUCUCUUAGUGUGGUCAGCACUGGGUGUUUUCGAGCAGCGAGGCUUACACCCAUUCGCAUUAGUUCAUCCAAAGUUCCUUACCCUUAUGCACGAAUUAUUGAAUAAUCCAUAUUCCUAUCAAGGUUAAGAAGGCAACUGAGCAUCUCAGCGGCGGGAUUGAAUACUCGGAUCGAAUCAGAGUUCAUGCCGCCCGCCCUGAACAAAUAGGAGGUGUGGGCCACAGGUCGCACAUAAGCCACCGGGUCGCACGACAGAAGAACAUCCAACAUAAAGAUGCACACUCCUCCAUGUGAAAUAUUCAUCUUCAUAGGAACUUUUUGAUAGUAGUCGUGACCAACAGCCAUCAGCUCUCGGCUUGUUGGUAAGGUGAGAGCUUCAAGCCCGAUUUCAGGUGGCGCACCCUCCACACAAGCACCGCCUGACGAAAGGGGGACAGGGAAAGCUACAGGCCCAAAACCUUCGACCCUUCUUUCUAAAUGGGGGUGCCCGAGGCACCUCAUCAUCUCAUUUCGUCGUUGCUCAUUCCCGUUAGGCCGAAGUGUUUGGCCUUUCCUUCUCCGCGCCCGCUCAGGCUUCGCUGACCUAUCGCGUGGUAAAAAGAAGAAAGUACGAAAGAAUAGUAAACGGAGCACACUGCAGAAAGAUUCUAAAUAUGACAAGUCCCCCUUGGAUUCGAGAAGAAGGAAAUGAAGAACGGGAACGAAACGAAAUAAAGCGUUUCUAGCUCUAGUUUCGGAUGAGCUUCUCCCAAUUAUGUCUGGUAAUAGAAUAGGGCGGCUUGCUCUGACCAAGACUCCACUUUUUGCUCCGUCCGCGGAGCGUAUGAAUUUCCUGGAAUGUAGAUAGACCAAAAGAGGGAAUGAAGGGAUAGGAAUAGGAAUUAUAGUACCAUUGGAAAAAAGGGCACCUGUGGGAACAUCUCUACUGACGAACCAUUUCAAUAGUACGGGUGCUGCCGUGCCACGAGGCACGACCACGGAAGUAAUGAAAAAGAAAAAGUUAUGUAGUUGGACCAUCUGUUCUAUCCGUUCGAGUUUUGCUUCUCUAGAGAAGAUGAGAGGCUAAAAAUGAAAGUGUUCGCAACACAUACCGAAAGGGUACUAAUUAAGCCGACCAUUAAUGACUAGUUAAAACACCAGGAGUGGUCUGAUCCCCUAUUUGAUCAGACCGCUCUGAGAAAGAGAAAAAGCAAACUCUCAUAGUUCGGAGCCCAGCUCCAACAACUUCUUCGUAAGUGAGGUGAGGUACUUCUUUUGGUUUGAAUAGGGGGUCGCCCUUUUUUUGGUUGAAGUAGCCACGACUUUGGUCGUAGUCAGUUUAACCCCAUAAACCCAGUCCACUUGCAGCCAUGUUGAUCAAAAUGACUAAGUUUAAUGACUUGACCAGUCACUAGCCCUCGUAUUAUAAGAUUCUCUCACCCUGUGGUCGACAUUCCAUUCCCCUUAGUCGUAGGUGCUCGUUCUAUUUUGAUUUGAAUGGGCCGGGGCUCCCGAGGUACAUAUGGCCGGCCCUUCGGGUGUCUCGGUGAUACAAACAAAGAAAAGACGAUGGUUUUUAACAUACCCUUGAACAAAAAGCCAAUCCUUACCAAAGGAGGAAAUAGAAUAGAAUAAUCUACCUUCUUUUUUCCUUCCCGUUGAUUCCCCCCGACAAUCAAGCUGCACUUCCUUCUAACAAGUGGCUGAGAGUUAGCAAGCAACCUUGGCCUCUUGGCAGGAGGUUCGCUGUCCCCCUCCUUUCCGGUCCGGCCGCAGUACGGCACCUGAACUCGAAGCUACGAUCAGAUCCGAUUGGAUCUGGUCCUAUCCGACCCAACCCCGGAACUUAGAACGGCCGGCCUGUUUGGACGGUAGAACGGGGAGAGGGGGAGUCGUGCCCAUUCUCUAUCCGGGCACGAGCAGGAACAUCAAAAAUAAUGGAAAGGCGAAUACAUGUACAUGAUGUAACGACAUAUUCCAAAAUACGUGAUCCGAUUUGAUAGGCUGCCCGCAGAAAGGAAAGAGUUUACCGACCGCAUAACAAUUCAUUCUUGAUCUCAGCCUGUGGUCGACAUUCCAUUCCCCUUAGUCGUAGGUGCUCGUUCUAUUUUGAUUUGAAUGGGCCGGGGCUCCCGAGGUACAUAUGGUCGGCCCUUCGGGUGUCUCGGUGAUACAAACAAAGAAAAAAUGAUGGUUUUUAACAUACCCUUGAACAAAAAGCCAAUCCUUACCAAAGGAGGAAAUAGAAUAGAAUAAUCUACUUUCUUUUUUCCUUCCCAUUGAUUCCCCCCGACAAUCAAGCUGCACUUCCUUCUAACAAGUGGCUGAGAGUUAGCAAGCAACCUUGGCCUCUUGGCAGGAGGUUCACUGUCCCCCUCCUUUCUGGUUCGGCCGCAGUACGGCACCUGAACUCGAAGCUACGAUCAGAUCCGAUUAGAUCUGGUCCUAUCCGACUCAACGCCGGAACAUAGAACGGCCGGCCUGUUUGGACAGUAGAACGGGGAGAAGGGGAGUCGUGCCCAUUCUCUAUCCGGGCACGAGCAGGAACAUCAAAAAUAAUGGAAAGGCGAAUACAUGUACAUGAUGUAACGACAUAUUCCAAAAUACGUGACCCGAUUUGAUAGGCUGCCCGCAGAAAGGAAAGAGUUUAUCGACCGCAUAACAAUUCAUUCUUGUGUGUAGUGCCGUGGGCCCAUGUCUCCCGAACGAUCAUAGUACGACCGCUCAUCUAAUAUAAAAUCAAUGAGUAGAUCUCACCUCCCCUUCCACAUACCAUAGCCGGAAGGGAUAGCGUAUCCACAGAAGAGAGAGUACGGGCCCUUGCCCACCAUUUAGUUUAGACGCGGCUCGGAUGCCUUUAUGCUAUAGGCUGUGUUAAGCAUGCUUCUUUGACAGAAAACAAACUCUUUUUCCAUGACAACAAUCGCGACUAUAAAAGGCGGGGCGGUAAGCUCUCUAUCAACAAUAGGGGGCUAUUCAUAGUAAUAAACUACUAGACUAUAUGGAUUACAACUGAACUUCAACUUCUACUUGGUUGAUUAAUUCAGGGGCAGUGCUGGAACAUAAUGUUGGACAAUCUCCAUUUCCAUAUGGUAAUUGAAGUCAAACAGGAGCAAACCAGGUGCAAUUCAAUCCUUAUUCCUAGCAAUGACUCCAAAAAAGCAAAACCUCACUAGACCAAGGCCCAUUGCUGUGGGGACUACACUAUGUAAGAGAAUGACUAAGGCAAUUGCCAAUAGUUUCUAUUGAAAGACAGACUAGCUCUUUAAAAACGGCGCCCUCCUAAUCUCAUUUUGAUAGGAAGAGAUAUUGAUAAUUAUCCCAAGGAGGCUUACUACUCAGUUGAUAGAUCAGGUGAGCCAGCCAUGAUCACUAAACUCACCAAAGCAGCAACAUAUGCAAAUUGGAAUCAUAGGUUUCUAUAUGCUUAAAGAAAAUGGGAUUUGCAGAGUAGGAUACGAAAGUGUAUUUAUAUACAAUGGAAAGCCCCUAUAAUCCAUGGACGACCAGUGGAGUUCAUAAAAGAAAGCAAAGAAAGGUCCGCGACAAAGUUGUCCCCUCUCUCCAUAUCUCUACUUACUGGCUGGGUGCAGAUAACACUGUAAUAAUAACAAAGCCAGAUAAAGAUACUGUUCGUUCAGAAUUGAUUCAGAUGGCGAGGACCCAUGGAAAAAUCCACCCUAUUCAUGCUCCACACAGCAACUUGCCCGGUCAAUAUUAUAUAUCUAUGCUAAAAUUGGUGAUCUAUUUUCGUUGCCCCCUUUAAGCGUAUGUGAUAUAAUCAUUCUUAUCUCAGAAGAGAGGUAUGCAUUGUCCCCACUUAAGUUAUUAAGUAUUCCUAAAGACGAGGCGAUUUAUUUUUAUGUUGAAACUUUAUGUCAGCCAAGGGACCCUGAUCAUAAAUGGGUUGUUUAUCCCGGUGAAAGGGACGCUCUCCUUUUAAUUGCUCUAACGCAUAUGUUGAAUAGUUGUUUUAUGCGUUCAUCUAUCUUUCAGGAGCAGUCGUGUGGUUUUCCCAGAGAUCGCCGUGAGUUCUUUGCCAAAUUAGGUGGAGUGGGGAAGAUUAUAACUAUUUUCAUCUUGAAUCUAGCACCCUCAAAAGGUACUAUUCCUCAUAAAAGAAUUUUACGAAAGCUGGCACCCUUGGUGCGUGAUAGCUACAUAAUAUCCUUAGUUUCAUCCUUUUUAAAGAUACCAAUGACCAAAAUGGAAUUAAUUGUUCUAUUACGGAAGUUGGGAUCCCACACACUGGGUUAAUCACUAAGGUCUUAUACAAUUUGAUGUUGGAUGAUUUCGACCGGGGAUUUAAACACCUAUACCCUAGUCUUUCUUAUUAUCGUUACUUGGGUUACUGUUACGUAUUAUUUACAUUGUUUAGUCUCCAAAGCGAGCAGCAGUGUGAAGAAGAAAUGAAUAGUAUCCUCUUAGAGUUAGAUCUUGAUGGGGAUAUCACAACUAUUCUACCUGGUGGGGGUGCCCAUGUGACUCGUGAUGGGCGUUUGAUUAUUCUAAGUCGAGAUUGCGGUCUUCACGUUGUCGAACAGUCAACAUUCUUUCUUUAGUUCAAUUUGUAGUCAAUAUGUUUUAUACAAAAACGAACCCAUGCAACGUAGGGGAAAGAAAGGACGGAUUGAUCGACCAACUUGAACAGAUCCAUAACCUGCUUCCAUCUGUCCUGAAUGAGGGAAUUAAGGCGGGUAUAGUCGAACUGAACUGCUUGAUUCUAAGGUGGGUGAUAAGCAGUUGUAUCCGUAUCAAGCCUACCAUCUCUUCUCACGAAAGACUUUCCAUCCCAUCUCUGAAAGUUUUGCAAUAUAGGUGGCCCUGCUUCAAAGCCCCAGAAAACCCCCCUUACUCUCUCCCUAUAAAAAAAAGACCUUUCCCCUUUCCUUACAGUCAAGUGGCCCAAGGCCCCCCGUUCUUUAAUAAUAUAAGGUAAGAUUUGAAAAGUAACACGCUCCCGACAAACAAUUAAUCCGUAAUAUCAUCCAUCGUUGGCAUUAUUGGAAAAAAAUUACCCAACUCUUAUUCAAUCAAAGCCCAUCUACACACUCCAGUUGCUUCCUUUUGAGCAAGUCAAGCAGGCGUUGAGCACGAACUGAGACUCUCCCGCCCCUUUGACAACAAUUCCUGCACUUGACAUCGGAUCUCCUCAUUGGAAAAUGGGGAUAAGCGAGAAGCCGUUUUGUAGGGUAGACUCGCUCCUACCUUUAACUAAAUCUACUUCUAUAUCCUUCCAUCGUGCUAUGAGCGGUCAAUUCCGAAGAAAUGGUAAGAUAUGGGUAAGAGUUCUCACAGAUAUCCCUAUUACCGGGAAACCUACAGAAGUAAGAAUGGGAAGAGGAAAAGGAAAUCCUACGGGUUGGAUUGCUCGUGUGUCCAGGGGACAAAUCCUAUUUGAAAUGGAUGGUGUGAGUUUGUCAAAUGCUCGACAAGUCGCUACAUUAGCGGCGCAUAAACUAUGUUCGUCAACAAAGUUUGUUCGGUGGUCGUAAGCUUAUUAAUCUAACCCCAAAUUGGUACACGCCAAUUCCAUUCGCCGGAUUGAAAGAGCCAUCAAUCACUAUGAUCUCUUUCUUAGAAAAGAAACUGCGUAAAUUAUGCCUUUUUUGAUCCCACACUUUCCGUUGAUCAACAACCAACUAAAUCUAUACUUCUUCACUACUCGUACAGGGAAGGUGGAAUAAAUUCAGUCUCUCUUUUUUUGGGGGGGAGCAGAGCAGUCAAAAAAUGAACCAAACCAAAUGAUUGUUCUAGAAUGGUAAUUCCUCACAAUUGCUCCUUGAGAUGCAGCGGAACCAUGGCAAUUAGGAUCUCAAGACGCAGCAACACCUAUAAUGCAAGGAAUAAUAGACUUACAUCACGAUGUCUUUUUCUUCGUUAUUCUGAUUUUGGUUUUCGUAUCAUGGAUCUUGG
RNAcentral lists this long non-coding RNA (9057 nucleotides) under Solanum tuberosum (potato). Lineage: Eukaryota; Viridiplantae; Streptophyta; Magnoliopsida; Solanales; Solanaceae. The record is from RNAcentral.